Molecule: ribosomal RNA, 406 nt
Filed under: uncultured bacterium
Lineage: Bacteria
Description: partial 16S ribosomal RNA
Rfam family: Bacterial small subunit ribosomal RNA
Source: RNAcentral
AUUGAACGCUGGCGGCAGGCCUAACACAUGCAAGUCGAACGAGUGGCGGACGGGUGAGUAAUGUCUGGGAAACUGCCUGAUGGAGGGGGAUAACUACUGGAAACGGUAGCUAAUACCGCAUACCAUCAGAUGUGCCCAGAUGGGAGUAGCUUGUUGGUGGGGUAACGGCUCACCAAGGCGAAGAUCCCUAGCGGGUCUGAGAGGAUGACCAGCCACACUGGAACUGAGACACGGUCCAGACUCCUACGUGAGGCAGUAUUGGGGAAAAUUGCACAAUGGGCGCAAGCCUGAUGCAGCCAUGCCGAGUGUAUGAAGAAGGCCUGCGGAUUGGAAAGGACUUUCAGCGGGGAGGCGUUACCCGCAGAAGAAGCACCGGCUAACUCCGUGCCAGCCGCAGCGGUAAUAC